AUUGCUCCUUGACCAUUUGGCUAGGAUCAGGCAUAGUAUCUGUUCUUAUCAUUUUGAUAUCUGAUAUAUCUUCUAUCUGAGGAUAAUAUAUUAAAUAGGUUUUUGCUACCUAUCUAAAAUUUUAGAGGCAGCUCUGAAUAGUUCACUGGAUAGAGUGCUGGGCCUGGAGUCGAGAAGACCUGAGUUCAA
This 189-nucleotide small nuclear RNA is filed under the name Notamacropus eugenii (tammar wallaby). Its description in RNAcentral is "U2 spliceosomal RNA (ENSMEUG00000017105.1)". The stretch from base 1 to 114 matches the Rfam family "U2 spliceosomal RNA". From Rfam's summary of the family: U2 is a small nuclear RNA (snRNA) component of the spliceosome (involved in pre-mRNA splicing). The record is from RNAcentral. Lineage: Eukaryota; Metazoa; Chordata; Mammalia; Diprotodontia; Macropodidae.